This 19-nucleotide ribosomal RNA is filed under the name Scleroderma areolatum. Its description in RNAcentral is "partial 28S ribosomal RNA". The record is from RNAcentral. Lineage: Eukaryota; Fungi; Basidiomycota; Agaricomycetes; Boletales; Sclerodermataceae.
ACUUGACCUCAAAUCAGGU